This 467-nucleotide ribosomal RNA is filed under the name uncultured bacterium. Its description in RNAcentral is "partial 16S ribosomal RNA". It matches the Rfam family "Bacterial small subunit ribosomal RNA", at positions 28 to 506 of the family's 1533-position model. The record is from RNAcentral.
GACGAACGCUGGCGGCGUGCUUAACACAUGCAAGUCGAACGGAAAGGCCCUGCUUUUGUGGGGUGCUCGAGUGGCGAACGGGUGAGUAGCACGUGAGUAACCUGCCCUUGACUUUGGGAUAACUUCAGGAAACUGGGGCUAAUACCGGAUAGGAGCUCCUGCUGCAUGAUGGGGGUUGGAAAGUUUCGGCGGUUGGGGAUGGACUCGCGGCUUAUCAGCUUGUUGGUGGGGUAGUGGCUUACCAAGGCUUUGACGGGUAGCCGGCCUGAGAGGGUGACCGGCCACAUUGGGACUGAGAUACGGCCCAGACUCCUACGGGAGGCAACAGUGGGGAAUAUUGCACAAUGGGCGGAAGCCUGAUGCAGCAACGCCGCGUGCGGGAUGACGGCCUUCGGGUUGUAAACCGCUUUCGCCUGUGACGAAGCGUGAGUGACGGUAAUGGGUAAAGAAGCACCGGCUAACUACGU